GAUGAACGCUAGCGGGAGGCCUAACACAUGCAAGCCGGGCGGUAGAGAUUCUUCGGGAUCUUGAGAGCGGCGUACGGGUGCGGAACACGUGUGCAACCUGCCUUUAUCAGGGGGAUAGCCUUUCGAAAGGAAGAUUAAUACCCCAUAAUAUAUUGAUUGGCAUCAAUUAAUAUUGAAAACUCCGGUGGAUAGAGAUGGGCACGCGCAAGAUUAGAUAGUUGGUAGGGUAACGGCCUACCAAGUCAAUGAUCUUUAGGGGGCCUGAGAGGGUGAUCCCCCACACUGGUACUGAGACACGGACCAGACUCCUACGGGAGGCAGCAGUGAGGAAUAUUGGACAAUGGGUGAGAGCCUGAUCCAGCCAUCCCGCGUGAAGGACGACGGCCCUAUGGGUUGUAAACUUCUUUUGUAUAGGGAUAAACCUUUCCACGUGUGGAAAGUUGAAGGUACUAUACGAAUAAGCACCGGCUAACUCCGCGCCAGCCGCCGCCGUAA
This 495-nucleotide ribosomal RNA is filed under the name uncultured bacterium. RNAcentral describes it as "partial 16S ribosomal RNA". It matches the Rfam family "Bacterial small subunit ribosomal RNA", at positions 28 to 523 of the family's 1533-position model. The record is from RNAcentral.